This 714-nucleotide long non-coding RNA is filed under the name Carassius auratus (goldfish). RNAcentral's name for it is "lncRNA (ENSCARG00000009050.1)". The record is from RNAcentral. Lineage: Eukaryota; Metazoa; Chordata; Actinopteri; Cypriniformes; Cyprinidae.
AUGUUUUUUCUGAAGAGAGAUGUCAAGUUCAAAGGACACAGAGGUGUGUUGAUUACAACAGCUGCACUUAAUAAAAUAUCAGAGGAACACGAAAAGAGAACAAAAGAGUGUGUUUCGGUUUCACACCAAAAAGGUCUUUUUAUUCACCGACAAGUGCCAUUUGUGUGGGAAGUUGUUGUAGUUGCUGGAGGAGGAAAUGUGGGAACAGGCUGUCCCUGCUGCUGAUAAGGACGUACGGAACUUCCUACCUUCCACAUAUGGGACCGGGCCUUUAACUGGAAAGAGGUGCUGCCAGGGGUCAUUGCAAAUGUAAGAACAUCCGUCCUGUCUCCCCACAACCUGUUUGAGAAAUCUGACCUCGUCAUAGCGCAUUUUCUUUGUACUGUAGAAAUGAAAAAAGAGGAACAGAACUUCCUGUGGGAAAAAUAUAUUGUUUUUUUUUUUUUAUUGUAGACCUAUACAUGUGAUCUCAUUAGUAAUCCUAAGCAUAGACACUAAAUGUAAAAAAAUUUUUUUUUACAAAAUUUUACAACAUUUAAAACCAAACCAUUUUACUACUUUUAGGUUCACAGAAUAUUAUAUUUAUGGAAAUAAUGUAUUUUUUAAUAGGUGUUUAUUAAUAUGAUACGUCUGGUACUAUACUACACUAUACCACUUUAUUUGUGGUGAAUGAAUUUUUUCACCUAAAUUUUUAAUAUACCAUUAUAAUUGAUU